This 344-nucleotide unclassified non-coding RNA is filed under the name soil metagenome. Its description in RNAcentral is "partial contains 5.8S ribosomal RNA, internal transcribed spacer 2, and large subunit ribosomal RNA". The stretch from base 2 to 119 matches the Rfam family "5.8S ribosomal RNA", at positions 37 to 154 of the family's 154-position model. The record is from RNAcentral.
GUGAAGAACGUAGCGAAAUGCGAUACGUAAUGUGAAUUGCAGAAUUCAGUGAAUCAUCGAGUCUUUGAACGCACAUUGCGCCCCCUGGUAUUCCGGGGGGCAUGCCUGUCCGAGCGUCAUUGCUGCCCUCAAGCACGGCUUGUGUGUUGGGCCUCCGUCCUCCUCCCGGGGGACGGGCCCGAAAGGCAGCGGCGGCACCGCGUCCGGUCCUCGAGCGUAUGGGGCUUCGUCACCCGCUCUUGUAGGCCCGGUCGGCGCUUGCCGACACAUCAAUCUUUUUUCCAGGUUGACCUCGGAUCAGGUAGGGAUACCCGCUGAACUUAAGCAUAUCAAUAAGCGGAGGA